GGCGAGUUGGGAGGUCAUCUGGGCCUCCUGGUAGCCUCCCUGAGUUCAGCCAAUCCAGUGAGGAGAAGCCGUGGGCGGGGCGGCCUCGGCUGCCAGAGCGGCGUGAAAAAUUUCCCAAGGCAGAGCGAAAACCUUUCCUGAGCGACUGAGCAUGCCCGGUGGUGAAAGUAUAUUCCAUGCUUGGGGUGAAGACUUCUCUCUCUUGCUGGCCAUGAACAAGAAAGCACAAAGCUUCAGGACUGUUGGCUGCCAUCUUGGAGCUAUGAGGGGACCAGCCUUAGAAUGAACCCAGAUGCUGAGGACAGUAGCACAGAGGAAUGGAAACAGCUUGCAUCUGUGAUGCCAUCUUUGAGCUGAAAACCAUACUGCAUCUGGAUCCUCAUUCAAUCUCUGGGUUUACAGUUACAGGAGGGUAUGUGGUUUAAACUCUCCAUGGACUGACAAAAUCAGGUUUCUGACUCUGCAAAGCUAAGAAGACUCUGCUCCUGGAAGGCCUCUCCACUGACAGACUGAGUCAUAUUCGAAAUAUUUACCAACAGACUGAACAACUGAACAGAACAGACAACGUGCCUGGCUGUUACGCUGUCUAGGUGAAGGGAAACCAAAUGACCAGCUCAACGACCCAUGCUAGGUGGAACCAUGAGGAACACAGGACCCAGACCACAUGACUUCCAGCUUGCUGCAUUCCUCUUUGUCCAGUCAAAGCCUCCUUAGCUGUGGGCAGGCUGCUGGUCGUCGGAGAAGCUGCCUGCAAAGAUGCUGGGACGCCCUUUUUAUGAACCAGGAAUCCAGGACAAAGCCUCCUGGUGCCUUCAUCCUCCUGUUGCUACCUGGGACCCACUGCUCUCUAAAUGAAUCCUUAGCUGUGAUCCCAGCCAUCCACCUGCCAUCAUCCUCAGGGCUCCCUUCCCCACGCCCCUGAAGUGGGUUUUCCAUUCCUUGGUUUACCUUCCCAUUUUGUUGGAACACCUCCUCCAGUAACUUCCUGAGAAAGGGUAUACCUUGGGGAGAUUGCAAUUUUUGUUCCAGACCAUCACAAUAAAGUCUGGAGGUGAGUGUUCCAAGAUCCGUAAGGAUUCCAAGCUACCGGAGACUCCAGUUCUUGUCUUGUUGCUCCACCAUCCCUCGGGCAUGGCCCUUGUCUGAAUGAAUAUUUGACCACACAUGGCUGGAUGGAUACUCCAGCCAGGAGGACUGAGAUGAGGAAACUAGAACUCAGAAAAGUUAGGCCUCACGCCAAGGGCACAGCGUUAGGAAGAGGCUGAGCCUGCACUGGAACCCAGAACUUGUGCCGAGUGGCUUCAUGGGGCACACCAUCAAGCCAGAAUUUCCCUGCACUCCCUGUUCUGUUUGUGACCUGAUGAUGGUAAAGCCUCUUCAUUUAUUGAUGAACCCUUGGGAAGCAAAGUACUCCAGAGACUUCUCAGAUCAAUACACAAGGGCGAGAAAUCAUCGGAGGAUUACAAGAACUGGUUUACUUUGAACUCCGCCUAAUAUGAAAGGAAAGACCAAAAGGGAAGUAGUUUACUUUAAUAUCUGUGUGGCUUUUUUUUCAAAUGGCAACAAGAUGCAUCCCUAGCCCACGCGUGGCCCUUGCUCUUCCAACUGUAAACAGGCCUUUUAAUGGAAAGACAGCACAAGUUUGAAGUUCAAAGGACCGAGUUUACGUCCCACCUCUGCUAAGGGAAUAGCUCUGCGAUCCUGGGAAAGUUACUUAACCUCGCUGACGAUCACAGGUUUCUCCUAUAAAACUUUAAUGGUGAUAAUAACUAAGUCCCUUUGAUGGUGGGGUUAUUAAAUUAACUAAUGU
Non-coding RNA from Delphinapterus leucas (beluga whale), 1810 nucleotides. Lineage: Eukaryota; Metazoa; Chordata; Mammalia; Artiodactyla; Monodontidae. The record is from RefSeq and is a predicted model, not a curated record.